GCUCUAGUAGCUUAUU
Molecule: transfer RNA, 16 nt
Filed under: Lampropeltis extenuata (short-tailed snake)
Lineage: Eukaryota; Metazoa; Chordata; Lepidosauria; Squamata; Colubridae
Also listed under: 6 other names
Description: partial tRNA-Thr
Source: RNAcentral